AUUAGUGCAGUGAUGAAGCAUGUAUUGUGGACUAGAGUUUCUGAUAUUGGGCUCUUCUUCCCAUUUUAUUUUGACGACAAACCCUUGGCUGUCUGAGCACUGUACCUUUCAUCUUAUUCAUAAGUUUUCCACUGAUUUUUUAAUAUUCUUUUUAUAAAAUUAGGUUAAGAGCUAAUGAUGAGAAAUACAAUUAUCUUAGCGGAUUUCAGUGAGAUUACUUUUAAUCAAUGAUCUGAUUGUUACACACACUGAAGCUCUUCAAUCUCUUUUUUAUUUAUUUUUUUUGUAUGAGAUGGAAUGUAAAUAAUAAUAGCAGUGAUGAGGCAAAACACAUGAGGAUGUGUUAAGGGAAGUGGACAAGACGAUUAAAACCGUUUUGCCGUGAUCCCCAUUUUAAACGACUUCUCCUUCCACUGAGCUUUUUUUUUAUUAUUUAUUUUCAUUCCAACUUUUAUUCAAAUUUACAUGUUUUUGUCUAAUUUGUUUUACAUAUAUUAUUGAAGAGAUAUGCGGCGUCCAUUUACCAAUUCUGGAGGAUAAGUUGGUUCCUCACGGUGUAAUGGCUCGGACGCCAUAUUAAUAUUUGUGGCCAUCCUGAUCAAUGGGUCCUCAAUACCAUUGCAUCCUGGAAACACCUCAUACAUUU
This 646-nucleotide long non-coding RNA is filed under the name Helianthus annuus (common sunflower). The record is from RNAcentral. Lineage: Eukaryota; Viridiplantae; Streptophyta; Magnoliopsida; Asterales; Asteraceae.